UUUUAAUAAAUGCAAAAAAAAAUCGUGGCUAUGUUAUCAACAAAAAAAUAUAUAUGCGUGGUCAUUCAAGGCGUGCGACCGCACGCGUCUCCUGAGAAGGCCUGCAUAGGGCACCAAGUUGUCUGUAUUCAAACAGUUGACACAAAUGUUGUUGCGAUCUCAAUUUCCGUUUUUAAACAGUUAACGGGUAUCAAGCAACUUUGGAUAGAAUUUGGAGUUGGAAAACUUAAACGAUGGCUUCCAAUACACUAUUACGCACAAAAGAUAGGUGAAAAAGCAGAAGCUGUUUCAUUGUGGUUUGCAUUCACUGGCUGUGAUACCGUGUCAUCCUUUGCAGGACGAGGAAAAAACUUGCAUGGAAUCUCUGGAACAAUGGAGAUGAAGAAAUUAUUAGUGCAUUUUGCAGCUUGUCAUCUCCAAGCACUAGAGUUAUUUCACCUGAUACAUUUCUAAAGUUUGAGCGCUACGUUAUUCUACUUUAUGAUAAAUAAGUUCCACUACUGACCUCACCAUAUGCUGAAAAAUGCUGUUCACUAAAAAUUCACGACAGAGUGAAAGGUUACCACCUACAAAAGAUGCACUCUUUCAGCAUUUAAAAAGAGCUGUGUUUCAAGGAAGUAUUAUAUGGGGACAAUCCUAGGUGCCACAGCAGAUUUUACCCGAAGCUACUUAAUGGGGUUGGAAAAAAACAAAUAACGCAAUGACACCUUUGUGGAUGACUCUACCUGAGGCAUCAAAAUCAUGCAUCGAGUUAAUAAAAUGUAGAUGCAAGAAAAGUUGCGGAACACAAUACAAAUGCAAAUGUUCAGGAUUAUCCUGUACAGACCUAUGCGAGUGUUCUGGUCAGUGUUUUGAAUAAAAUGAACAAACCUCAUUUUUGUUAACAAGUUUUAAAAAAAAUUAGUUCCAUUACUCUGAAAUAUAUAAAUAAAACUUUUUUUAUGCUUUUAAUCAUAUUUUAAUUAGUAAUGUGGUAUAGUUGUUUAUUGUUUCUUAACAUUCUGCUUAAUGCAACCUUAUAUAAUUGGUUCAGAAGAUUUUAUAGUUUUACAGUCAACUCAGUUGGGGGUCGCCCCAGGACCAAAAAAAUAUUUUCAGAAUGGGGUCUUUUUUUUUUUGUAUUCUUUUAAUUCAUAGACAACUUCCUGAAAGUUUCAAGCUGGUAUCACAAUUUGAACUCUUUCGCUAAAUAUUUACUUUUAUUCCCCCCACUAAAAGGUUUUUAUGGUUUUUAAACACCAUAAUAUCUGUACCCAGAUGGCACAACUCAGAAAAUAGUUACGCUUGGUUUCUGUUGCGUUUUAAAACCUUCAAAAGCAAAAAGAAUAACACGUAUCCUAAAUGGUUUUUAUUCCAUGAAAUUAACUAUU
Molecule: non-coding RNA, 1370 nt
Organism: Hydra vulgaris (swiftwater hydra)
Lineage: Eukaryota; Metazoa; Cnidaria; Hydrozoa; Anthoathecata; Hydridae
Source: RefSeq, a predicted model, not a curated record